CUUUAUGGCGGGCAUUACGGGCAACCUUCGGGUUGGCCGGUUUUCUCUUUUUAUCCGGUAGUGCUAACCCGUACAGCCUGCCGCCUUU
RNAcentral lists this non-coding RNA (88 nucleotides) under Candidatus Kentrum sp. TUN. The record is from RNAcentral. Lineage: Bacteria; Pseudomonadati; Pseudomonadota; Gammaproteobacteria.